Molecule: ribosomal RNA, 234 nt
Filed under: uncultured bacterium
Lineage: Bacteria
Description: partial 16S ribosomal RNA
Rfam family: Bacterial small subunit ribosomal RNA
Source: RNAcentral
CCCUAGACAGGGGGAGUAACUAUUGGAAACGAUAGCUAAGACCGCAUAGGUACGGACACUGCAUGGUGACCGUAUUAAAAGUGCCUCAAAGCACUGGUAGAGGAUGGACUUAUGGCGCAUUAGCUGGUUGGCGGGGUAACGGCCCACCAAGGCGACGAUGCGUAGCCGACCUGAGAGGGUGACCGGCCACACUGGGACUGAGACACGGCCCAGACUCCUACGGGAGGCAGCAUG